AGUGGACGCGAGCAUCCAUCUGUGUGGUCAAGUUGUUAAGGGCGGACGGUGGAUGCCUUGGCACUGGGGGCCGAUGAAGGACGUGGGAGGCCGCGAUAGUCCUGGGGGAGCUGCCAACCAAGCUGUGAUCCCAGGGUGUCCGAAUGGGGGAACCUGGCCGGAGUCAUGUCCGGUCACCCGUACCUGAAUGCAUAGGGUGCGUGGGGGGAACGCGGGGAAGUGAAACAUCUCAGUACCCGCAGGAAGAGAAAACAAUAGUGAUUCCGUGAGUAGUGGCGAGCGAAAGCGGAAGAGGCUAAACCGGUCACGUGGAAUACCUGUCAGGGGUUGCGUGGCCGGGGUUGUGGGAGCCCACGGGGUGGGCUGACAACCACCCGGGGAGUGAGAAAACCUGGUGCUAGCCGAACAGUCUGGAAAGGCUGACCGUAGACGGUGAUAGUCCGGUAGGCGAAAGUGCUGGGUCUCCCGUGGGUUUUCCCGAGUAGCGGCGGACUCCUGGAAUCUGCCGUGAAUCUGCCAGGACCAUCUGGUAAGCCUAAAUACCUCCCAGUGACCGAUAGUGGAUGAGUACCGUGAGGGAAAGGUGAAAAGUACCCCGGGAGGGGAGUGAAAGAGUACCUGAAACCGUUCGCCUACAAACCGUCGGAGCCUUUUUGUGGGGUGACGGCGUGCUUCUUGCAGAAUGAGCCUGCGAGUUAGUGGCACGUGGCGAGGUUAACCCGUGAGGGGGAGCCGUAGCGAAAGCGAGUCUGAAUAGGGCGUUGAGUCGCGUGUCCUAGACCCGAAGCGGGGUGAUCUAGCCAUGGGCAGGCUGAAGCGUGGGUAAGACCGCGUGGAGGGCCGAACCCACCAACGUUGAAAAGUUGGGGGAUGACCUGUGGCUAGGGGUGAAAGGCCAAUCAAACCCCGUGAUAGCUGGUUCUCCCCGAAAUGCA
RNAcentral lists this ribosomal RNA (935 nucleotides) under Thermobifida fusca. RNAcentral's name for it is "bacterial LSU rRNA". It matches the Rfam family "Bacterial large subunit ribosomal RNA", at positions 1 to 868 of the family's 2925-position model. Lineage: Bacteria; Bacillati; Actinomycetota; Actinomycetes; Streptosporangiales; Nocardiopsidaceae. The record is from RNAcentral.